This 741-nucleotide ribosomal RNA is filed under the name uncultured Pseudomonadales bacterium. RNAcentral describes it as "bacterial SSU rRNA". It matches the Rfam family "Bacterial small subunit ribosomal RNA", at positions 42 to 778 of the family's 1533-position model. The record is from RNAcentral. Lineage: Bacteria; Pseudomonadati; Pseudomonadota; Gammaproteobacteria; Pseudomonadales.
GCAGGCCUAACACAUGCAAGUCGAGCGGAUGAGAAGAGCUUGCUCUUCGAUUCAGCGGCGGACGGGUGAGUAAUGCCUAGGAAUCUGCCUGGUAGUGGGGGACAACGUUUCGAAAGGAACGCUAAUACCGCAUACGUCCUACGGGAGAAAGCAGGGGACCUUCGGGCCUUGCGCUAUCAGAUGAGCCUAGGUCGGAUUAGCUAGUUGGUGAGGUAAUGGCUCACCAAGGCGACGAUCCGUAACUGGUCUGAGAGGAUGAUCAGUCACACUGGAACUGAGACACGGUCCAGACUCCUACGGGAGGCAGCAGUGGGGAAUAUUGGACAAUGGGCGAAAGCCUGAUCCAGCCAUGCCGCGUGUGUGAAGAAGGUCUUCGGAUUGUAAAGCACUUUAAGUUGGGAGGAAGGGCAUUAACCUAAUACGUUAGUGUUUUGACGUUACCGACAGAAUAAGCACCGGCUAACUCUGUGCCAGCAGCCGCGGUAAUACAGAGGGUGCAAGCGUUAAUCGGAAUUACUGGGCGUAAAGCGCGCGCAGGUGGUUUGUUAAGUUGAAUGUGAAAGCCCCGGGCUCAACCUGGGAACUGCAUCCAAAACUGGCAAGCUAGAGUACGGUAGAGGGUGGUGGAAUUUCCUGUGUAGCGGUGAAAUGCGUAGAUAUAGGAAGGAACACCAGUGGCGAAGGCGACCACCUGGACUGAUACUGACACUGAGGUGCGAAAGCGUGGGGAGCAAACAGGAU